RNAcentral lists this ribosomal RNA (253 nucleotides) under uncultured bacterium. Its description in RNAcentral is "partial 16S ribosomal RNA". It matches the Rfam family "Bacterial small subunit ribosomal RNA", at positions 524 to 776 of the family's 1533-position model. The record is from RNAcentral.
GACGGGGGAUGCAAGGGUUAUCCGGAAUCACUGGGCGUAAAGCGUCUGCAGGUGGUUUCCUAAGUCCACUGUUAAACCUUGAGGCUCAACCUCAAAUCUGCAUUGGAAACUAGGAGACUUGAGUAUAGUAGGGGUAGAGGGAAUUUCCGGUGGAGCGGUGAAAUGCGUAGAUAUUGGAAAGAACACCGAUGGCGAAGGCACUCUACUGGGCUAUUACUGACACUCAGAGACGAAAGCUAGGGGAGCAAAUGGG